AAGGCUUUAGCUUAAUAAAAGCAUCUGAUUUGCAAUUAGAGGAUACAGGUUAAUAUCCUGUUGGCCUUA
This 69-nucleotide transfer RNA is filed under the name Eudromia elegans (elegant crested-tinamou). RNAcentral's name for it is "tRNA-Ala". It matches the Rfam family "tRNA". Rfam says of the family: Transfer RNA (tRNA) molecules are approximately 80 nucleotides in length. Their secondary structure includes four short double-helical elements and three loops (D, anti-codon, and T loops). The record is from RNAcentral. Lineage: Eukaryota; Metazoa; Chordata; Aves; Tinamiformes; Tinamidae.